UAAUGUACGAUGGGCGAACUUCUACUGCUUAUAAAUUUAUCGAUUUCCAAUUGCAGCGUGAUCAUUUGCCAAUGAUGAUCUUUUGACCAGGAAUUCUAAUUCAUGGUUCUACUGUAUCUCAUCGGCUCUAUGAAGUCAUCUUCCUUGUAAUUGGAGAUACUAAAUGAUUGCCUUAUGAUUGGUUUCAUUUGCUUUGGUGUUUGCUUUGAAGGCAUGAAUUUUGAAGCAUCUGGCUGGGUCUUUUUUAAGGACAAUGUUGGCGACAGCUCCGAUUUUAUACAGAAAGGUCUAUCCAAGCUAUUAAGGUUCGAACGCUGAUCGUAUCGACUAAUUUUGUGGCUUCCAUGCUAUACGGACUUGUUCAGUUGUUAGAGAAUCCAGUUUAGAGCGAUCCCACUAAGGACCGUGUGAGGAUGCAAAUUGAACAAAACUGUUAGAGAAUCCUAGUUCUUUAGUUGGGGAAGGCAGGAGGUUAUUAAUUAAUGCAAUUAUGUUUAGUUGAGAAACUGAAUUUUGUUUUUUUUUUCCUGUGGAUUGGAGGGAUGAGCGAUGUCUGGAUCUUUCCAUAGGGAUCGUCUGUUUUUAUUUUUAUUUUUGGGGAGAUGCAAUGAACGUCUAGUUCUAUUCCUGUUGUAAAUUAUUUGUUUCUACUUUGAAUUGGUUUGGUGCAGUCCAUAGAAGCAUUCUUGUUGGGAUUCUCUUUAUAUUGAAGUUCCAGUUGAUAUAAAUUUGCCCGACAAAUUAGUUUUAUAUUGCUUGUGUGUUGAAAAGUUACUAGGCCAUCAGCUUGCACGAUCCCUCUACAUGGAUUUACCCCCUGACUUUCUCCAAAACUCCUAUUCU
This 843-nucleotide long non-coding RNA is filed under the name Eucalyptus grandis. RNAcentral's name for it is "long non-coding RNA (EGRA_LNC001493)". The record is from RNAcentral. Lineage: Eukaryota; Viridiplantae; Streptophyta; Magnoliopsida; Myrtales; Myrtaceae.